AGUGAACGCUGGCGGCGUGCUUAACACAUGCAAGUCGAACGAGAACGGAAUAUAGCUUACUAUAUUUGUCAGCUAAGUGGCGCACGGGUGAGUAAUGUAUAGAUAACCUGCCCUUAAGAAAGGAAUAACAGUUGGAAACGACUGCUAAUGCCCUAUAUGCCUUUAAUACAUAAGUAUGCAAGGGAAACGCUUUAGUGCUUAAGGAUGGGUCUGUACGGUAUCAGCUUGUCGGUGAGGUAAUGGCUCACCAAGGCUAUGACGCCUAACUGGUUUGAGAGGAUGAUCAGUCACACUGGAACUGAGACGCGGUCCAGACUCCCACGGGAGGCAGCAGUGGGGAAUAUUGCACAAUGGACGAAAGUCUGAUGCAGCAACGCCGCGUGGAGGAUGACACAUUUCGGUGCGUAAACUCCUUUUAUAUAGGAAGAUAAUGACGGUACUAUAUGAAUAAGCACCGGCUAACUCCGUGCCAGCCGCCGCUGUAA
This 485-nucleotide ribosomal RNA is filed under the name uncultured bacterium. RNAcentral describes it as "partial 16S ribosomal RNA". It matches the Rfam family "Bacterial small subunit ribosomal RNA", at positions 29 to 523 of the family's 1533-position model. The record is from RNAcentral.